Long non-coding RNA from Silurus meridionalis, 870 nucleotides. RefSeq lists it as uncharacterized. The transcript has 3 exons. Lineage: Eukaryota; Metazoa; Chordata; Actinopteri; Siluriformes; Siluridae. The record is from RefSeq and is a predicted model, not a curated record.
ACAGCGUUGUUGAGAAAGCGCUCUGUGUGUCUGUUUUUCUUUCUCACAAUGGGGGCACAGUUGAGUUGAGCCUCUGACCAGAAGAAGCUUAAUUUAGUGUUUGUUUGUCAACAGAAUUGCCCUGAGAAGGAAGUCGGCCAGCUGUUCGUCUUCUACGCUUUCUCCCUGGGCCUCAUAACCCACAGGACAAGGGUUGAAAGCCCCACUGGACAACCCCGGAAGACCUGACUCUGACUGGCCAGAGGGUUCGGGGGCAGUGAUGACAGAGGCAGAGCGAGGGAGACAAAGAUAUAUAUACUGUAUAUAUGAGGGGGCUCAGUCUACCAGCUGCUCCUGAUGUUUGUGCUGGAACACGAGUGCUGGCCAGCACUGCAAGGAAAUAAUCACACUGAGGCUGCUUUCCCAAAAUCACAGAGUUACACAAUAGUUAUUCUGUACCCUGGGUUCAAAAGUUAACAGCAUGGUUUUGGGGAAAAAAACAGAACUGAUAUUUAGAAAGGUUUCUGCUUUUGUGACUUGUUGUUCUAAUACACAAGAUCUUCAGAUGAUUUGAGAAAUUGACAUUUUUUGAGUGCAUGAUUAUAAUUAUACAAUUAUAUACAAAAAAGUAUACAUUAUUGGCAGUCCAAGAACUGUGAAACAUGAUGGUAAUGUGAAUUUAACCAAGUACCAGAUAUUUUUAGAAUAGAAAUACAUGUUAGAGGAAGAUGCCCAAGCUAGUAUUCUCUCCAUGGAAGGCUUCAAGAAAUAUUUAAUUAUACAACAAAUUUAACAAAUAUUAAUCAUAUCAGGGAGAUGAUUCAUGGAUUAGAAAUUAGUUUUUUCAAUUCCCUUAUUUCUGUAAAGCUGCUUAUUGACGAUGUAUUCUAU